AGCAGCCGCGGUAAUUCCAGCUCCAAUAGCGUAUAUUAAAGUUGUUGCAGUUAAAAAGCUCGUAGUUGAAUUUCGGGAUCAAUUAAUUGGUCGUGCCUCUGGUACGUACUGGUUUUAUUGGUUUCUCCCUUCUGACGAACCAUGAUGUCAUUAAUUUGGUGUCGUGGAGAAUCAGGACUGUUACUUUGAAAAAUUAGAGUGUUUAAAGCAAGCUAACGCUUGAAUACAUUAGCAUGGAAUAAUGAAAUAGGACGUUUGAUCCUAUUUUGUUGGUUUCUAGGAUCGACGUAAUGAUUAAUAGGGAUAGUUGGGGGGCAUUAGUAUUCAAUUGUCAGAGGUGAAAUUCUUGGAUUUAUUGAAGACUAACUACUGCGAAAGCAUUUGCCAAGGAUGUUUUCAUUAAUCAAGAACGAAAGUUAGGGAUCGAAGACGAUCAGAUACCGUCGUAGUCUUAACCAUAAACUAUGCCGACUAGGGAUCGGAUGAUGUUAAUUUUUUAAUGUACUCAUUCGGCGCCUUA
RNAcentral lists this unclassified non-coding RNA (520 nucleotides) under uncultured Glomus. RNAcentral describes it as "SSU rRNA". It matches the Rfam family "Eukaryotic small subunit ribosomal RNA", at positions 569 to 1090 of the family's 1831-position model. The record is from RNAcentral. Lineage: Eukaryota; Fungi; Glomeromycota; Glomeromycetes; Glomerales; Glomeraceae.